GGAAAGGCUUACGGUGGAUACCCAGGCACCCAGAGACGAGGAAGGGCGCGUAGCAGCGACGGGGAUGCUUCGGGGAGUUGAAAAUAAGCGAUCCGGAGAUUCCGGAAUAGGUUAACCUUUGAACUGCUGUGGUUGAAUCCACAGGCAAGAGACAACCCGGCUUAACCAAACAUCUUAGCAGCCAGAGAAAAGAAAGCAAAAGCGAUCUCAGAAGUGGCGAGCAAAUGGGAGCAAAACCAGAAAACGUAGUCAGAGAGCAAUAAAAGCUGUCGUGCCGCUAGGCGAAGCGGUGGAGCGCCGCACCAGAUAUGAGAGUCCAGGCAGCCGAAAGCAUCACCAGCUUUCAUGCCUGACCCGACCUGUACGGGGCACGGGAACUCCGUGAAUCAGCAAGACCACCAUUGCAAGGCUAAAUACCCCAAGUGACCGAUAGCUAGCAGUACCGUGAGGGAAGGGUAUUAACCCCAUCGGGGAGUGAACAACAUGAAACCGCAAGCCCCAAGCAGGGAGGAGCCCUGGGCCUGACCGCGUCUGCUGAAGAAUGAGCCGGCGACCCAUAGGCAGUGGCUUGGUUAAGGGAACCUACCGAGGAGCCGAAAAGGAGUCUCAUAGGGCAAUUGUCACUGCUUAUGGACCCGAAACCCGGUGACUGGUCUAUGACCAGGAUGAAGCUUGGUGAAACGGCGAUAUCCAAACCGACUGGAUGCUGAAAAUCAGCGGAUGAGCUGCCAGGUUAGUGAAAUGCCACUGAACCCAGAGCCAGCUGGUUCUCCCGAAAUGCGCUGAGGCGCAGCAGCUGGACUGAUCCAGGGUGCUAAUUGUUUCGGGGCCGCGAGAGCGGUACCAAAUGAGGAGGCAAACCCGAAUACCAGAUAUGACCCCAAAACAACUUCAGUCAAGGUCACAGCACGGCGGGGAUAAGCCCAUCGCCGAGAGGAAAUAGCCCGAUCACCAGCCAAGGCCCAAAAUGACCGCCCAGUGAUAAAGAGGUAGGUGCAGAGACAGCCAGAGGUUUGCCUGUAGCUAAACACCCCUGAAAGAGCGCGCAAUAGCUCACUGACCGAGCGCCCUUGCGCCAAAGAUUGAACGGGGCCGAUCCGUCAGCCGGGACGUCAAAACAUCGGUAGGGGAGCGUUCCGCCUUAGGGGAAGCAACUGCGGAGUCGGGCGGUGACGAAGCGGGAAGGAGAAUGCCGCUUGAGUAACGCAAAACAUUGGUGAGAAAUCCACGCCCUGAAACCGUCUCUUCCGCAAGGUCUGUCCACGGAGGGCGAGAGUCAGGGUCUAAGAUCAGCCGAAAGCAGUAGCCGAUGGACAAAUUGCGUGAAUAUUCCUGUACUCACCCUUGUUGGUCCCGAGGGACGGAGGAGAGGCCAGGGUUUAGCCGAAAGGUUGCCAUCGGUUCAAGAACGCAAGGUGUCCCCUGUUUUUUCCAGGGUGAAGGGGUAGAAAAUGCCCUGAGCCAAUGUUCGAGUACAGGCGCCAUGGCGCCAUGAAGUAACUCAGCGCUAUAAUUCCAGGAAAAGCUCGAACGACCUUCAUCAAAGGGUACCUGUACCCAAAACUGAUACAGGUGGGUAGAUAGAGACACCUAGGGCGAGACAACUCUCUACAGAACUCGCAAAAUAGCCCCGUAAUCCUCAAGGGGAGAAGGGGUACCACAAAGGGGGUCGUUAGACCAGGCCUGGCGACUUUCUGUUUACCAAAACAUGGUUCCGCAAAGUCGCAAGAUCAUGUAUGGGGCUGACGCCUGCCCAGUGCCGGAAGAAUAAGGGAAGCGGACCUGAUGACAGGGAGCCACACCAGCCCCGGUGAACGGCGGCCGUAACCAUAACGGUCCGGCAGCGGAAAUUCUUGUCGGGUAAGUUCCGACCCGGUAUGAAAGGGCAAACGAUCUGGGGCACUGUCCUCGGAGAGAGGCUCAGGAAAUAGAUAUGUUCAGAAGAUGCGGACCACCUGCACCCCGGACAGAAAGACCCGCAUAGCUUCACCAAGUUCCCUGGGAUUGGCUUUGGGCUUUCCUGCGCAGCUUUAGGUGGAUAAGGACAUAUUCUCUGGGGGGCCUGAGCUAUCAGUGAGAUACCACUUGAAGAGCUAGAAUUCUAACUCAGUUGUGACUUCAUGAAGGCGGACAGUCCCAGGUAGACAGUUCUUUAUGGGGCGUAGGCCUCCCUAAAAGGUAUCGAGGCGUGCAGGUUGCUCGGGCCGGACGGAGAUUGGCCUCGAGGCAAAGGCAGAAGGAGCUUGAUCAAAAGACCCACUCCGUCGAGCAGGGACGAAAGUCAUCUUUAGGUGAUCCGAUUUGGGUGCUGAGUGGAAGGGCCGUCGCUCAACGGAUAAAAAGUUACUCAGGGAUAACAGGCUGAUUCUCCUGAGCUCAUCGACGGGAAGGUUUGGCACUGAUGUCGGCUCUUCGCCACCUGGGGCUGUAGUGUUCCAAGGUUGGGCUGUUCGCCCAUUAAAGCGGUACGUGAGCUGGUCUGGAACGUCGAGAGCAGUUCGGUCCAUAUCCGGUGUGGGCGUUAGAGCAUUGAGAGGACCUUUCCCUAGUACGAGGGACUGGGAAGACGCACUCUGGUGUACCAGUUAUCAAAGCCCACGGGUAAACGCUGGCAGCCAAGGGAUGGAUAAUCGCUGAAAGACGGCGCAGGUCACCCCAAGAUGAUUCUUAUUCCGAUCUCCCAGAGCCUCCGGCAGCACAGCCGAGACAGCAACGGGUUCUCCGCCCCUGCGGGAUGAGUGACAGAAGCCUUUGAGAAUUCAAGAGAAGGUCACGGCGAGUAUGAGCCGUUUAUCAUUACGAUAGGUGUCAAGUGGAAGCGCAGUGAUGUAUGCAGCUGAGGCAUCCUAACAGACUGGUAGAUUCUGAA
This 2869-nucleotide ribosomal RNA is filed under the name Brassica oleracea (wild cabbage). RNAcentral describes it as "bacterial LSU rRNA". It matches the Rfam family "Bacterial large subunit ribosomal RNA". Lineage: Eukaryota; Viridiplantae; Streptophyta; Magnoliopsida; Brassicales; Brassicaceae. The record is from RNAcentral.